UGUGCUGAGGUCACAGAAACAAGAAAAGAAGCUUCAGACUUCAGAGUGUUGUUUACAGUUUUCUGUCAUCAUGAUCUCCCCUGAAGUUUAUCACUGUGAGCCAAGCAAGCAGAGCGGCAGUUUGUGCUCACAGAUGGAGACGGUGCGGAGAGACGGUGGUGUUUCCUCAGAAGAACUAGCAGAGUCACCAAGGGCACCAGUCCAUCUCACCACCUUGACUUGCUGACUGAUGCUCGUCUGCACUGCACAGAGGAAAUCAACUGACCGAGGAGUGUUUCUGGGUGAGGGAGAGAGGAGUCAUCAUCCAGGUAAAGUGACGUGGAUCAGUGGACACACUUGUCUCCCCUUUAAAGGAGAUACUCUUAGAGAGAGACGAUCCGAGUCAUCCCUAAAUAUGGGCAGGAUAUCACUAUUGGACUGUCUAACCUGCCGGAGCAGCACUGAAUGACCACCACACAUGAGCAUGUUCCUGCAACAUUCAGCAGCUUUGCUUUUGUGUCAAAUGUCAACCACCUGGAGAGGAAACUACACCAGUACUGGGAUGUUUCACCAACACGUGCCAGAUGCUGUUCCUUCAUGGUGACAUCACCAGAGACAGCCCCGCCCACCUCAGGACCUCGCCAUUGAUCAUGAUGAUUAUAAUGAUGACAGCGAGCGGAACUAAGACUGUAAAAAUCCACGACCAGAAUGUUUAGAUGCUUUCUAAUUAUUCAUGAAUACUGAGAGCCUCUUUCUGUGUUUUGUCUGUUUUGGGUUGUUUUUUUUUUUACCUCAUUUGUUACUAAGAAAGUUCACCAAACUCACACAGUUUACAUUCUGUAUGUUUCCAUCUUUACCAGCCACACUCUACCUGCAUUUAGAAAACAAACCUUAGAAAUCGUCGUUUUUCUCUUUUGUAAUUUUGUAAUUCAGUGAAUAUACUGUGCUGCUUCCUUUUAUUGCAUCACACAUUGCUUUAAGUUUUUCAGUGUCCAGUUAUUUUUUACUGCUGUUUGAAUUCUCUGUAUGUUUGACCCUGUAGACUGUUUGAUGGACUGCUUGUCUUCCUGUUUGUAACCGACGCCUGUUUUUGACUAAAGAUUUGGAUUUCUGACUUUAACACAGCCUCUGCGUGUCCUCCCUUUGUGUCCUCUUCCUCUGUGAAUGUGUUGCAUGUGUCACAGAUUCAUUUUAUUAACAGCUUUCCCACAGUGAGUU
Molecule: long non-coding RNA, 1197 nt
Organism: Pelmatolapia mariae (spotted tilapia)
Lineage: Eukaryota; Metazoa; Chordata; Actinopteri; Cichliformes; Cichlidae
Exons: 5
Source: RefSeq, a predicted model, not a curated record